This is a long non-coding RNA of Cydia fagiglandana, 4679 nucleotides long. RefSeq lists it as uncharacterized. NCBI's taxonomy places the organism in Eukaryota, Metazoa, Arthropoda, Insecta, Lepidoptera, Tortricidae. The transcript is spliced from 2 exons. The record is from RefSeq and is a predicted model, not a curated record.
AUCGCUACGGAGCGUAAGCGAUUGGCAUCCUGGCUACGCGGCCAGGCGAGUUGGUGCACGAAAUUCUUCGUUCUUAGCGUCCAUACUUUAGUCCGAGUGCGUCUUACAUGGCCAAAGAAAUUUAGACCUUAUGUUUCAGGCGUUAUAGUAUACUAUACUGUACUGUAUAACUCCUUAAACAUAGGUCUAACUUCCUUUGACCUUGUAAAACGCGCAUCGAAUCCAACGGUUUUUUAAUAAUUUGCCAAUUUAUUCUGCGCCUAGUGGUAUUCCAUCUGUCUUUGUCCAAUGUGCAUUGCAUCUCACUCUCUUAUUAAGCAAAAUGUGAGACGAAAAUACAAAUUGGACCAUGAUAUUGGAUUGGAAAGCAUAAGUUUAGUUUUUUUUUUUUUAUAAGUUGCUACAUGAGUAUGUUGUGUUUGGCCAGAAACUAUUUCGUCCUAAAACAAGAUUGAUUGAAAUGGCAUUGGUAUAAUAAAGAACUGCCAUUUCAAAAGAUAAACAAGCUAACAUGGAUCAUUACUAUGUUAUAACUGAAUGGUGUUUAGCAAAAAUGUGUCAACCCACAUUCAUUUUGCAAUAUGGCGUCAUUUUUUUGAGUUGACAUCUCAUUGCGUAAUUAAUCUGGGUUGACACAUUAUCGCUAAACACCAUAAUAUACCGGGUGUGGCCUGUAACACGAGCAAAUAAUUAAAACAUAGAUUGUACUCCUCAAACGGUGACACUUUUGUUCUACAACUUUUAAAAAUUAUGAAGUAUUUGAUUUGACUCUCUAUUUUUCAUACAAAAUAAAUAUUAUCUUCAAUGGACGCCAUCGCCACGCCAUAUCAUUGUGAUUGACGUUGCUCGUCACGCCUAAACAUAACAAAAUUCGCAGUACAUUGCGUCUUAGAAUAAACUUUAUUAUUGUGAGUGUAUUAAAAAUCAUACCACAAGUUAUUUUUAAAAGUCGCUGAACAAAUGUUAAAAAAAUUACAAACAAAUUAAACUGUAGGCUGUACUCCUCAUACUCCUGUACAGCCUACAGUAAAAUUUUUUGCUCAUAUUACAUGCCACACCCGGUAUAAUACAGAACAGUUUAUCCUUUAAUGAGCCUUAGACUGAGUUUCCACCAGAGAUGUGCGAGGAUGCAUAGCGAGGGAUGUGUUUGUUAACGUUGAGCCAGGAAAACAAAUUAAGUAAGUGAUUCUCUUGGUUCUGAUAUACACAACCCACACAUCGUUCAAAAUGGCGGCCGAUUUUCGAAAUGGUCCUAGCGCGCUGAGAUUUGGCAUGGCGAGGAAAAGAGGACUGAUACCUAUGAAGAAUUUUUUUUUUAAUAAAAUGACGUGUAAAAGCGAAAAAUAUAGCCACUUUUAUUUUAUAAUAUUUUAAACUUUCUCGUUUUGAACACAUAUUAACUCUCAUUAUAGACGGGUCUAACGUGAAUUUUAUUCAAUUACCUUGAUUUACCGACGUUUCGACACAGGUUUCACUGGUCGUGGUCGCGGCUGACUGAUGUCCCAGCAAAAUGUCAAAACAGAGAUUUGUGCGUCUACCCGACGAAAAGUCACUUUAAUUUUGUAUGGCAACUUUUAAACGGUGCGAGAUAGAUGGGGGGUGCUCGACCAAAUGUCAUAGAGGGCCUGCGCAUCCUCGCACAUAUCUAGUGGAAACGUAGCCUAAUAGACGAACAUAUAUGUGUGACGAAUAAACUAUUAUCUAUCUAUAAUAUAUCUUCGCUGACGUGUCUUGUGAUGAGCGGGCGUAUAAUGGAUGCGAUUAUGAUAGGCUAAAGUAUCCGUCUAUUCGUAAACACUUCGACAACCAUGUCCAUCAUAGUCCGCGGGGAACUACCUGACAACCUCAAAAUGUAUGGCGAAACACGAUAGUGAAAUAGGGCCUUGGAGCCUACUCAACUCGUCAAAGGGACAGGUCAUAAGUUGCCGCCAUAUGUCAGAGUCGAAUAGACUCCCUGGUCUAAAGGUUCCGUCACACAGGCGCGUUUUCCAGGCGGGCCGUGAGCGCGGCGCUCGCAAAACGCGCCUGUGUGACGGAGCCUUAAAAGGUUGCAUCUAGUGACAUGUCCCAAAAGUGUUUAACUCGUGACAUAAUGAUGCUAUUUACCGAUAUUACGAACACUAUUACCUAUAUCACAUUCAAAGUUUAUUCCAAAACUAUGUUUUUAAUAAAUAUUUUAGUAUCACCUAGAUUGUUGGAUAUAUGUAAUAUAGUUAUGUUGGUUUUAAUUAAAUAUAAAUAGGUAUAAUUCUUCAAUAUUGACUGAUAUAUAAACAAAAAUAUUUAAUGAUUCUAUAAAAGUUUUCCAUUGUAAUAGAUAGCUCUCUAAUAAAUGAAUAUUUAAAGAUGUUAUCAAUGCAUAAUUAUACCUAUUUCAUACUAUCAAAUAUAUAUUGAUUGAGCAUGAUGUGUAAAAUCUAAGACAAUGUCUUGCGUCGAAUUUGACAGAUAAACGAGAUGGCGCUGUACAGCUCCAUAGAUUUUGCGGUAUAGUGUGUAGCUUUCAGAUAGAGCUCGACGGCUAAUCCUAUUGUCUAUUGUUAAGUAAAACCGCACGUGCUACUUACCUGCAAAAAAGGGUCUUCAUUAUUCUAUUUGGCACCUGAGCGCGGGCUAGUCCAACGCUCAAAAAACCAGUGUAGGUGCGCUCUCCGAUAACGCGCCUUUGUUACGCAUCUCGAUGACACAUUUUAGACUGGUUCUGUUGUGUUCGACUCGCCGGCACUCAGUAACUGAAGUACGUAUUUUUUAUGCAGGUGGUUGUGGCACGUGGCACGAGCGGUUUUACUGAACAAUAGACAAUAGGAUUAGCCGUCGAGCUCUAUUUGAAAGCUACACACUAUAACUAUGCUUGUCAAAAGUUGACGUUUGACAAUUCAGUGACCGCAAAACGUAUGGCGCAGUACAGCGCCAUCUGUUUUGGAUGUGAAACUAAGGGGCACGUUUUUUUUUUAGACUCCUAUUACAAUCAAUUCUCUUUGAUACUAUAUUAGGCAGUAUUAUUUGCAGUCACUUGCUCACAUUAUUAGUUAUCGUUUUACGUACGUUAUACAUAUACUGUAAUUGUUCAUUAUACUAAGUUCAUAUUUACACAAGUGCGACGUUAAAUUUUCUUGCCAAUCUUGUUUAUAGUAUUUUUCACCACACCAGCUCGGAAAGGCUUUUUUACUUUGCGCUUCAAAAACUGAUAGCAAAGUUGCAUUUUAUUCACAUGUGAGGCAAAGUAAUCAAAUGCAAAUUUUGAGUUGUUAUCUUAUGUUUCCUGGUUGAAUUGACUUUUAAAUGAUGAUUUGGGUUGAUAAAUAUUUCAUAACAUUCAUUUGGAUUUGAUUUGGUUUGAUUGUGUUUGAUAUUUUACAUUUAAUAUCUGCUUCGGGUUGGUGUGGUGAAAAAUUUUGUGUUUCACUCGGGGGCAAAUUUUGUUUAACCCUCGUGCUUUGAAACCCUCGCAACGCUCAAGAUUCCAUUUCUCGAACCACUCGCUACGCUCGUGGUUCAAUUAUGGAAUCUUUCGCCUGCUCGGGUAUCAAUAUCAAUAUUAGCGCGAGCGGUUAAACAACAACUUUGCCCCCUUGUAAAACAAAUAACUAUAUCUCAUAGGUAGCUUUAGUCCGGUGACAGCUGGCAUCUCAAUGAAAUUUUUGCUUUUUAGGGUAACAUUUCAUUUCUGAGCGCAGCUGCACUACUGCUCCGACACGUCGAUGUUGUUGUCAAUUUCCAAGGUAAAAUGUAUGACAAGACAAUGAAUGACAGUAACGUCGCAACAGUAGUGCAGCUGUCGUUGGAAAUGGACUGUCACAUUUAAGGUUAUAAAUUGUAUGGAGAUGACAGCAGACGCCGUACCCGAGCUGUGUCAAAAAUAUUAAUUAUAUCCUCUAGCCGCCCAGAGACCUAUAAAAAGGUCUCCUGUUCCAUUCUAAUUUGAACUUUGUGUUGACAAAAUUAAAAUUUCAUUUUGCUUGGCAAGGUUUGACUUAUGGGUGGCUAGAGGAUAUAAAGCCGAUCGAAAUAAUGCCAAAAUAUUACGUGAAAAUUCAACUCGUCUAAAGUUUUUUUUUAACUUAAAUGUCUAUCUAUUCUUUCAGUUUGAGCAGUUAGGUCACUCUUCCAUUCUUAUUAUAUUUCGAUGGUCAAGCAAAUGUUUUAUUUAUGUAACUAUGUCUUCAAUACUUGACAGCCCCACUUUUAACGUGGGUAACAGCCGGCCAUUAGUUUUAGUCUUUCAUAUGUGACUGCAAAUAAAUGUGUCGUGCUGUAUAAAAAGGUUACCUGGCUGAAUAAAAGACCCAUUAUCAACGGAAUAUAAAUGCGAGUGUUCUUUUGUACAGAUUGACACAUAAUAUAUGCCUGCCCCAAACAAAUUCAAUAAUUAAAUACUUAGGCUAAGUAGCGAUGUUAGAAAAAAAUACUAUUUUAAUAUAAUUAAAGCGUUUAUAUUUUUAACAUAACUCUUUAAACCCCCUUUAUUCCACUUUUGUAACCAAUGGUGUUAGGUUAAGUGUAAGUAAUGUUACGUGUAUGUAAAUUUUGUAAAAGUUAUUAGUAUACCCUCAGGUACCUACUGUCUAGCGUUUGUAUUAUAAGAUUUGGAUGACAGGAUCCUGUGACCACAAAACGAGUAAGUGAUAAUCCGUUACAUAUUUUAAUCGUGUAUAAUAAAUGUCAGAUUAUUAGCUAAA